UGCGGAGGGAUCAUUACAAGUGACCCCGGUUUACCACCGGGAUGUUCAUAACCCUUUGUUGUCCGACUCUGUUGCCUCCGGGGCGACCCUGCCUUCGGGCGGGGGCUCCGGGUGGACACUUCAAACUCUUGCGUAACUUUGCAGUCUGAGUAAACUUAAUUAAUAAAUUAAAACUUUUAACAACGGAUCUCUUGGUUCUGGCAUCGAUGAAGAACGCAGCGAAAUGCGAUAAGUAAUGUGAAUUGCAGAAUUCAGUGAAUCAUCGAAUCUUUGAACGCACAUUGCGCCCCCUGGUAUUCCGGGGGGCAUGCCUGUUCGAGCGUCAUUUCACCACUCAAGCCUCGCUUGGUAUUGGGCAACGCGGUCCGCCGCGUGCCUCAAAUCGACCGGCUGGGUCUUCUGUCCCCUAAGCGUUGUGGAAACUAUUCGCUAAAGGGUGUUCGGGAGGCUACGCCGUAAAACAACCCCAUUUCUAAGGUUGACCUCGGAUCAGGUAGGGAUACCCGCUGAACUUAAGCAUAUC
This 523-nucleotide ribosomal RNA is filed under the name Cladosporium cladosporioides. Its description in RNAcentral is "eukaryotic LSU rRNA". The stretch from base 172 to 325 matches the Rfam family "5.8S ribosomal RNA". The record is from RNAcentral. Lineage: Eukaryota; Fungi; Ascomycota; Dothideomycetes; Cladosporiales; Cladosporiaceae.